Molecule: ribosomal RNA, 163 nt
Filed under: uncultured bacterium
Lineage: Bacteria
Description: partial 16S rRNA
Rfam family: Bacterial small subunit ribosomal RNA
Source: RNAcentral
UGGGGAAUAUUGCACAAUGGGCGCAAGCCUGAUGCAGCCAUGCCGCGUGUAUGAAGAAGGCCUUGGGUUGUAAAGUACUUUCAGCGGGGAGGAAGGCGGUGAGGUUAAUAACCUCGCCGAUUGACGUUACCCGCAGAAGAAGCACCGGCUAACUCCGUGCCAG